UUGUUUGUAUUACUUUAGUUACUUAAUUUAUGUAAUUUUAGAUUUGUUAUUGUGAUCAAGCAUCUUCUGUUUUUGUCAUUUUUCUGUUUUUGUUAUUAUAUUGGAUAUGAUUUACUAAAGUUAUUUGAUUAAGAUUUGAAGUGGUUUAGUUAAAAUUAUUUUGUUGUUUGUUCAGGUAUGAUCAUGGGUCCAGCUGGGUCAACUGUAUGCUACAAUCUUAAGUUAACGCAUCUCGUACUUGAUAUGCCUGUUAUUGAUUACAACUUGGCACUUCCUUAUGCUCAGAAUUCAUAGAGUAUCUUUUAACGCAGUAUUUGCCGACUGGAUAUAGUUACUGUCCUUCUAAUUAUUCUUUUCAUAUAUAAAGUUUGCUUUGUACCAUCUUUUGUUGCUUUACAUUGGUUUGGUUGGAAGUAUUCCUCAAUUGAAUUUGUUGGUCUGUAGGUACAAUCCACCAAGUAUUUCUCAAGGGUGUAGAAGCAUGGAAUCAAUAUGGAAACGACAACGAUUCAGUUGAAUACAAGCCUCUACCAAGUGGCCCAACCAAUGGCACGGAAAAGCAGUCAAAUGAAUCUGGUGACGCAGAGAAUGUCCAAUAGGAGGAACUUGGACUUCUAUGAUUUGUAUGGGUUUCAAUCCUUGUUGUUCAAAUUAUUAAGGUCGCUAAUCACGAAGCUCAAUCUGAGAAAGGUGCUUCUUCGAUAUUAUCAACUUGAAAUGUGUGAACCAUUAUGAAGUGUUAGUUCAUUUUACCGCAGGUCUAUUAAGUGGGUGGGGUUAGUUUUGUUAGAGCAUAGCUCGGUUAAACCCACCAAGCAUUGGUUAGCUAGAAAGUUACCAGGAUAUGAGACUUACAAGUAUUACGUGAAGACUUGAAGAAUGU
Long non-coding RNA from Papaver somniferum (opium poppy), 883 nucleotides. RefSeq lists it as uncharacterized. The record is from RefSeq and is a predicted model, not a curated record. The transcript is spliced from 5 exons. NCBI's taxonomy places the organism in Eukaryota, Viridiplantae, Streptophyta, Magnoliopsida, Ranunculales, Papaveraceae.